Molecule: unclassified non-coding RNA, 344 nt
Filed under: soil metagenome
Description: partial contains 5.8S ribosomal RNA, internal transcribed spacer 2, and large subunit ribosomal RNA
Rfam family: 5.8S ribosomal RNA (bases 1-120)
Source: RNAcentral
GAUGAAGAACGCAGCGAAAUGCGAUACGUAAUGUGAAUUGCAGAAUUCAGUGAAUCAUCGAGUCUUUGAACGCACAUUGCGCCCCCUGGUAUUCCGGGGGGCAUGCCUGUCCGAGCGUCAUUGCUGCCCUCAAGCACGGCUUGUGUGUUGGGCCCCGUCCCCUCCCCCGGGGACGGGCCCGAAAGGCAGCGGCGGCACCGCGUCCGAUCCUCGAGCGUAUGGGGCUUUGUCACCCGCUCUGUAGGCCCGGCCGGCGCCAGCCGACACCCAACUUUUAUUUCUAAGGUUGACCUCGGAUCAGGUAGGGAUACCCGCUGAACUUAAGCAUAUCAAUAAGCGGAGGA